UACCUUAAGCAAAAAUAUUUAAGGCAAGCCCUGCCCAGUGAAAUCUUCAACGGCCGCGGUAUCCUAACCGUGCAAAGGUAGCAUAAUAACUUGCCUAUUAAUUAUAGGAUAGAAUGAAAGGGUAAACGAAAUAGGAGCUGUCUCUAUUAGCCCAAUGAAAAUUAUUUUUUAACUGAAGAAAGUUAAAUUCAACUGAAGGACAAGAAGACCCUAUAGAGCUUAAUUUAAUAAAUAAGUAAAAAUUAAAUUCGGUUGGGGCGACCGAUGCUCUACAAAUCAUCACCCACAAAAAGAAAUAUACAUCUCAAAAAAGACCCUGACCCAGAUCAAAAAAACAAGCUACCUUAGGGAUAACAGGCUAAUCUCAUUAAUGAGUCCCCAUCUAUAAUGUUGGUUGGCACCUCGAUGUUGGCUUAGGGAAUCAAAAGGGCGCAGAAGCUUUUUAAGACGGUUUGUUCAACCAUUAAACCCCU
This 473-nucleotide ribosomal RNA is filed under the name Pontoscolex corethrurus. RNAcentral's name for it is "partial 16S ribosomal RNA". It matches the Rfam family "Bacterial large subunit ribosomal RNA", at positions 1829 to 2597 of the family's 2925-position model. The record is from RNAcentral. Lineage: Eukaryota; Metazoa; Annelida; Clitellata; Crassiclitellata; Glossoscolecidae.